This 583-nucleotide long non-coding RNA is filed under the name Medicago truncatula (barrel medic). RNAcentral describes it as "long non-coding RNA (MTRU_LNC000808)". Lineage: Eukaryota; Viridiplantae; Streptophyta; Magnoliopsida; Fabales; Fabaceae. The record is from RNAcentral.
AUAGAAAUCUUUUAUGUAACUCAUGGGUCAAUCGUUCCGUCCUGUUUUUUCAACAAACAAGAUGAAACAAGUUCAAAGUUCCAACUCAAUUCGUAAAAAUUAACGAGCUAAACAGAUCAGCCGGCGAAUCAAACCCAUUUUGCCAUCCUAAAUAUCGUGGGCAGUUUAGGCACCUUAAGCAUAAGUGCCUUCAUGACUUUGGAGAUGGAGGGAAUAGAAAACAUUUGGAUUUGGUUACUAUCACUCAAUGAUGAGGUUGGAUAACAUCGUCCUAUGUCGGCAGAGAACUGUGUCUUUGAUGUCCUUAAAAAAAAAAAAAUUGUGUCUUUGAUGUAUAAAUAAAUAAAUGUUAGUGGUCCUUUUACUACGAUUUUUGUCAUCACGUGCUAUCAUAGUUCUUGGCUUUUGGAACAACAAAGGAAACCCUUCGUGGCCUUGUGAUGCAAUCAAGGGACAUUUCAAUUGAAACAAGUUUCACAUUUAUGUACUUCGUCUUGCUCAUAUGAGCAAAAGAAAAUUACUUUCACUACAAUAAUUAAUCUUAUUUAAUUUUUAAAAUAUUAAAAAAGUAAUUAUAUUUGCA